UGAGUAACGGCGAGCGACAGGGAUGAGUCCAGCGCCGAAUCCCGCUCUUGAAAAGGGGCCGGGAAAUGUGGCGUUUGGGAGUGAGCGUAUCGGAGUUCGACCGGGCAGCAAGUCCCCCUGACCGGGGCUCUUUCCCAAAGUGGGUGCGAGGCCCAUAGUUGCUAGGUCGGCUUCGGUUGCGAUCUCCUUGGAGUCGGGUUGCUUGGAAGUGCAGCCCUAAGCGGGAGGUAAACUCCUCCUAAGACUAAAUACUGCCGUGAGACCGAUAGCAAACAAGUACCGUGAGGGAAAGUUGCAAAGAACUUUGAAGAGAGAGUUCAAGAGUACGUGAAACUGCUCAGAGGAAAACGGAUGGGCCCUCGAAGUCCUGUGGUGGGAGGAUUCAGUCGGGAAGUCUCCGACAUCGGUCUAGCUAUCACAGAAUGGAUCCCGUGACGGGCCGCUAGAUCGAGUCAAAAGGGGAACGCUCGACGCAUUUCUUUCCCACCCGAAGGACGCCGCAACCGGUUGGCGUGACGGCCGUGAGGACGGGAGCCGGCAGGUGGCCGGUGGUUUCUCCUUCGGGGGUGCCGCCGGUCGUUAGCCUUUCCGUCCGGGACGAAACCCGACCGGGGUUACAUGGGCCCUCAUGGGCUCCCAUCGCCUCCUCCAUGUGUCGCGAGCAGUCCCGGCAGGUGUGGCUCUGAAGCAGCGGGCGCAUGGACUCCCUCCAUGGCAACGCAGCGCAGAGUCCCCGAUUGAUGGCUGGUCUGGGCU
RNAcentral lists this ribosomal RNA (756 nucleotides) under Dolichognatha sp. FAPDNA061. Its description in RNAcentral is "eukaryotic LSU rRNA". It matches the Rfam family "Eukaryotic large subunit ribosomal RNA", at positions 80 to 627 of the family's 3401-position model. The record is from RNAcentral. Lineage: Eukaryota; Metazoa; Arthropoda; Arachnida; Araneae; Tetragnathidae.